GUGGGGAAUUUUGGACAAUGGGGGCAACCCUGAUCCAGCGACGCCGCGUGAAGGAUGAAGGUCUUCGGAUUGUAAACUUCUUUUGAUGGAGAUGAAUGGCCUGGUGAAGAGCCAGGAGUGACAGUAUCCAUCGAAUAAGCCACGGCUAACUACGUGCCAGCAGCCGCGGUAAUACGUAGGUGGCAAGCGAUACUCGGAAUCACUAGGCGUAAAGCGCAGGUAGGCGGUUUGAUAAGUCUGUUGUGAAAGCUCCCGGCUUAACUGGGAGAGGUCAACGGAAACUGUCAGGCUAGAGUGUGGUAGAGGUAGCUGGAAUUCCCGGUGUAGCGGUGAAAUGCGUAGAUAUCGGGAGGAAUACCUAUGGCGAAAGCAGGCUACUGGACCAUCACUGACGCUGAUCUGCGAAAGCUAGGGGAGCAAACAGGAUUAGAAACCCCAGUAGUCC
Molecule: ribosomal RNA, 445 nt
Filed under: uncultured bacterium
Lineage: Bacteria
Description: bacterial SSU rRNA
Rfam family: Bacterial small subunit ribosomal RNA
Source: RNAcentral